UUCGCAAUGCCCGAAAGGGUGACGAUGCGACGCCGCGUGAGCGAAGAAGGCCCUAGGGUUGUAAAGCUCUGUCGAGGGUUAUGAAAUAUAGAUGGGUUAAUACCCCAUUUAUUUGACAAAAGCCCAAAAGGAGGCCACGGCUAACUCUGUGCCAGCAGCCGCGGUAAUACAGAGGUGGCGAGCGUUGUUCGGUAUUAUUGGGCGUAAAGAGCACGUAGGUGGUUUUGUAAGUCAGGUGUGAAAGCCUUCUGUUCAAAGGAAGAACGGCAUCUGAAACUGCAGAUCUUGAGUGUAGGAGGGGAGAGUGGAACUUCUGGUGGAGCGGUGAAAUGCGUAGAUAUCAGAAGGAACGUCGGCGGCGAAAGCGACUCUCUGGCCUAUUACUGACACUGAGUGUGCGAAAGUUAGGGGAGCAAACGGGGUUAGAUACCCCGGUAGUCCUAACCGUAAACGAUGGGCACUAAGUAGAGGGGUUUU
Molecule: ribosomal RNA, 477 nt
Filed under: uncultured anaerobic ammonium-oxidizing bacterium
Lineage: Bacteria
Description: bacterial SSU rRNA
Rfam family: Bacterial small subunit ribosomal RNA
Source: RNAcentral